Molecule: ribosomal RNA, 459 nt
Filed under: uncultured bacterium
Lineage: Bacteria
Description: partial 16S ribosomal RNA
Rfam family: Bacterial small subunit ribosomal RNA
Source: RNAcentral
CCUACGGGAGGCAGCAGUGAGGAAUAUUGGUCAAUGGCCGGGAGGCUGAACCAGCCAAGUCGCGUGAGGGAAGACGGCCCUACGGGUUGUAAACCUCAUUUGUCAGGGAGCAAGGUGCAGGUCGGGACCUGGUGGGAGAGUACCUGAAGAAAAAGCAUCGGCUGACUACGUGCCAGCAGCAGCGGUAAUUCGGAGGAGGCGAGCGUUAUCCGGAUUUAUUGGGUUUAAAGGGGGGGCAGGCGGAGGCACAAGUCAGCGGUAAAAUCGCGGGGCUAAACACCGCUCCGCCGUUGAAACUGUGUCCCUAGAGUGCUCGACGGGUAGGCGGAAUGCGUGGUGUAGCGGUGAAAUGCAUAGAUAUCACGCAGAACUCCGAUCGCGAAGGCAGCCUACCGGCGCGCAACUGACGCUCAUGCACGAAAGCGUGGGUAUCGAACAGGAUUAGAUACCCUUGUAGUC